RNAcentral lists this ribosomal RNA (253 nucleotides) under uncultured bacterium. RNAcentral's name for it is "partial 16S ribosomal RNA". It matches the Rfam family "Bacterial small subunit ribosomal RNA", at positions 524 to 776 of the family's 1533-position model. The record is from RNAcentral.
UACAGAGGGUGCAAGCGUUAAUCGGAAUUACUGGGCGUAAAGCGCACGCAGGCGGUUGGUUAAGUCAGAUGUGAAAGCCCCGGGCUCAACCUGGGAAUUGCAUUUGAAACUGGCCAACUAGAGUACGUGAGAGGGGGGUAGAAUUCCAAGCGUAGCGGUGAAAUGCGUAGAGAUUUGGAGGAAUACCAGUGGCGAAGGCGGCCCCCUGGCACGAUACUGACGCUCAGGUGCGAAAGCGUGGGGAGCAAACAGG